Molecule: ribosomal RNA, 752 nt
Filed under: uncultured marine bacterium
Lineage: Bacteria
Description: bacterial SSU rRNA
Rfam family: Bacterial small subunit ribosomal RNA
Source: RNAcentral
UGAUCCUGGCUCAGGGUGAACGCUAGCGGUGCGCCUAACACAUGCAAGUCGAGCGAUAGAAGCUUUUAGCUUGCUAAAAGUUUUGAGAGCGGCGAACGGGUGAGUAACACGUUGGAAUCUGCCCCCAAGUCAGGGAUAGCCAUUCGAAAGGAUGAUUAAUACCGGAUAGUCUCUACGGAGUAAAAAUUUACUGCUUGGGGAGGAGCCUGCGUUCUAUCAGCUUGUUGGUGAGGUAAAAGCUCACCAAGGCUAUGACGGAUAGCUGGUCUGAGAGGAUGAUCAGCCACAAUGGAACUGAGACACGGUCCAUACUCCUACGGGAGGCAGCAGUGAGGAAUCUUCCACAAUGGACGAAAGUCUGAUGGAGCGACACCGCGUGAAGGAUGAAGGCCUAACGGUUGUAAACUUCUUUUCUGAAGGAGCAUAAUGAGAGUACUUCAGGAAUAAGGGACGGCUAAAUACGUGCCAGCAGCCGCGGUAAUACGUAUGUCUCGAGCGUUACCCGGAAUCACUGGGUGUAAAGGGUUCGUAGGCGGUUUAAUAAGUUGGAUAUGAAAGACCGGAGCUCAACUUCGUGUUUGUGUUCAAAACUGUUAAACUAGAAUCAGGGAGAGGUAAGUAGAAUUCUAAGUGUAGGGGUGCAAUCCGUAGAUACUUAGAGGAAUACCAAAAGCGAAGGCAACUUACUGGAACUGUAUUGACGCUGAGGAACGAAAGCGUGGGUAGCGAAAAGGAUUAGAUACCCUUGUAGU